ACGUACACUCCUACGGGAGGCAGCAGUGAGGAAUAUUGGACAAUGGGUGGAAGCCUGAUCCAGCCAUCCCGCGUGCAGGAAGACGGCCCUAUGGGUUGUAAACUGCUUUUAUCUGGGGAUAAACCUACUUACGUGUAAGUAGCUGAAGGUACCAGAAGAAUAAGCACCGGCUAACUCCGUGCCAGCAGCCGCGGUAAUACGGAGGGUGCAAGCGUUAUCCGGAUUUAUUGGGUUUAAAGGGUCCGUAGGCGGACUGAUAAGUCAGUGGUGAAAUCCGACAGCUUAACUGUCGAACUGCCAUUGAUACUGUUAGUCUUGAGUAAGGUUGAAGUGGCUGGAAUAAGUAGUGUAGCGGUGAAAUGCAUAGAUAUUACUUAGAACACCAAUUGCGAAGGCAGGUCACUAAGUCUUAACUGACGCUGAUGGACGAAAGCGUGGGGAGCGAACAGGAUUAGAAACCCCGGUAGUCCCAUG
This 474-nucleotide ribosomal RNA is filed under the name uncultured organism. Its description in RNAcentral is "partial 16S ribosomal RNA". It matches the Rfam family "Bacterial small subunit ribosomal RNA", at positions 329 to 799 of the family's 1533-position model. The record is from RNAcentral.